AUUGAACGCUGGCGGCAUGCUUUACUCAUGCAAGUCGAACGGUAACAGGCCGCAAGGUGCUGACGAGUGGCGAACGGGUGAGUAAUGCAUCGGAACGUGCCCAGUCGUGGGGGAUAACGCAGCGAAAGCUGCGCUAAUACCGCAUACGAUCUAUGGAUGAAAGCGGGGGGACCGUAAGGCCUCGCGCGAUUGGAGCGGCCGAUGUCAGAUUAGGUAGUUGGUGGGGUAAAGGCUCACCAAGCCAACGAUCUGUAGCUGGUCUGAGAGGACGACCAGCCACACUGGGACUGAGACACGGCCCAGACUCCUACGGGAGGCAGCAGUGGGGAAUUUUGGACAAUGGGCGCAAGCCUGAUCCAGCAAUGCCGCGUGCAGGAAGAAGGCCUUCGGUUGUACUGCUUUGUAC
RNAcentral lists this ribosomal RNA (406 nucleotides) under uncultured bacterium. RNAcentral's name for it is "bacterial SSU rRNA". It matches the Rfam family "Bacterial small subunit ribosomal RNA", at positions 30 to 440 of the family's 1533-position model. The record is from RNAcentral.